UGCGCGUGUGCCAUCCCAGGCCGCCGCCCCCUUGUCAAUCUCGCGACUCGCGAGACUAGGCUGCCGCCCCGCCGUCGUGCCUCCUCCGCCCAUCACACACAGAAGGACUCCGCCCGCCGCUCGCCGUCGUGCCUCCUCCCUUGCAGAUCUGAAGAAUGGGUGCUCAGCCCCCAUCCCCUCCGUGUGGCCCUUCUCCGUUUCAGACCGCCGUCCCUCGUCAAUUUUGUCAGGCCGCCGCCCGUUGUCGUGCACGCAGGGCCGCCUGAAGAACGGGUGCCUAGUCCCUGUACAGGCGCCUCCUCCUCAUGGCCGCCUGAUUUCUAUGCGUUGGAGGCGGCGACGGCAUCCUGGCAACUGCUCUGGUGCUCCUCGUUGGCGUUGGUACCGAAUGGAGGCGAACGGGUAUGUUAGCCUGGAGUACCUGGCAAAUCAGACUUUUAAUACGGAGAUGCGUACCAACACCCAUGUGUGGACUGAGCAAAUGGAUCGUUUCCAUGCACUGGCAAUCGAGCUUUAUUCAAAGUUUUUUUCCCAUGACCCUGCUUGUGUACUAAACUACUUAACUGUUUGCAUGCAUGGUCUGCUGACUCCUGCUAUAUUUUAUUCGCUGCUAUAUUUUGUUCUACAGAUUGGCAGGCCCGUUGCAAAUCGUCUCAGCCCUGUGGUUAGGCAGCUAUCUUCCAAGGAGAUCAAGUGCGAAAACAGAUGCUUCCUGUUUGCCGCAGUGUCUUCAUGGUCAAGUGAAGGCAGCUGCGUCCUGUCUUUGCCGCCGUUGUCAACGACCUUCAAUGGAUGCUCAAGGCCAGCCAGAGGUAGUUGCUUAUUUGCCGGGCAGAGGAUUAACCUGGACUCUUUCUUCUGUUUUGAUGUACUGUGAAAUGCUGUGUUGGCCAGGGCUUCUUGUAAAUACGUUCUGUUUCUGAUGGUCCCUUAUGAACUUAACUUUUGGUUCAGAUCCUUGAAUUUUUUAUUUUGUUCAGGCGCAA
Molecule: long non-coding RNA, 986 nt
Organism: Panicum hallii
Lineage: Eukaryota; Viridiplantae; Streptophyta; Magnoliopsida; Poales; Poaceae
Exons: 2
Source: RefSeq, a predicted model, not a curated record